This 493-nucleotide unclassified non-coding RNA is filed under the name Xanthomonas hyacinthi. The stretch from base 104 to 176 matches the Rfam family "tRNA". The record is from RNAcentral. Lineage: Bacteria; Pseudomonadati; Pseudomonadota; Gammaproteobacteria; Lysobacterales; Lysobacteraceae.
GGCUGGAUCACCUCCUUUUGAGCAUGACAGCUACGCCUGUCAGGCGUCCUCACAAGUCACCUGCAUUCAGAGAGUUCCGCCACAGGGCGGGCACCCCGAUUUCGGGGCCAUAGCUCAGCUGGGAGAGCACCUGCUUUGCAAGCAGGGGGUCGUCGGUUCGAUCCCGACUGGCUCCACCAGAUUGCAGAUCCCUCUGCAAGCGCCCGCACAUCGGUGUGCGGACUGUCUAAGGGAACUGCGAGAGCCAAGACUUUGGGUCUGUAGCUCAGUGGUUAGAGCGCACCCCUGAUAAGGUGAGUCGGUGGUUCAAGUCCUCCAAACCCACCACUCUGAAUGUAUGAACACACGAAGGAUUUAGAAUGCGCCAGCAGUGAGCUGGCGUGUCUUUAAAAUUGUGACGUACGAAGCGGGGACUUCAAGUCCUAGAGUUGAGUUCGUAUAAACGCGUCCGGGCGUUGGUACCCCAGUUAGACCUGAGGCAACUUAGGUUAUA